GGAAAAACAAGACAGAUAAAAAACAAGAUGAUAAACAGAGGAUCCAUCUAAAACAGUAUAAAACAAGAUGAUAAACAGAGGAUCCAUCUAAAACAGUAUAAAACAAGAUGAUAAACAGAGGAUCCAUCUAAAACAGUAUAAAACAAAUGAUAAACAGAGGAUCCAUCUAAAACAGUAUAAAACAAGAUGAUAAACAGAGGAUCCAUCUAAAACAGUAUAAAACAAGAUGAUGUUGUGUCUUUGGCGUCACAAUGUCAGCUUCGCUAUUGUUAUCAAUGAUAUCUGCCUGCGUUUACAUUGCAGGUCUAUGUUGUGUCUUUGGCUAUGCUGGAUUAAGUGAUAUGACAUGCUAUUCUAAAUAAGUUCCCCGUAAUUAAUAUCACCUGAUUGAGCUAAUCAUGUAAAUGUAAUUAACUAGAGAGUCGGUCACCACAAAAUAAUAUUUAUAGAGCUGUUAUCUUCCGAAUAAACUCUUAAAGACCUAGUAAUAUUUUACAUCAAUAGCAGGCAGCAUUAAUCGUCAACUUAAUUCAGUCUCAUCUGAAAGUUGUACAUUCUUGGUUAUCUGCACAAACCCUGGCUAACAAGUUGAACCAGCGAUGCAAAAUUGGGUUUAAUUAUUUAUUUACUGUUAAAGGAAUUCAAUUGCUCUAUGUUUUAAUAUCCAAUUAAAAUUAAACACUCUGUCAAUUCAUAAGGAUUUGUAAUUCCCUUAUUCUAUAAUGAUAGACAGAGCCCAGUCUUCAAGUCAGACAGCAGAGUUUAUUCAAGAGAGUACUGCCACAAUACAGGUUACCACAGGUUAUAAACUGAAAAUGACAUCAUUAGUUCCAACACCAACCCGUGCCAUCUCCGUUCCACUACAAAGGCUGUAUCUCAAGUCUUCCCACCUCCGUCUCCCUACCAAUUUAAUAUAAUUUACGAGUCAAGGUUUUCUUGUGUAGAUAAGCAUUCUAGCCAGUCUGAUUCAUUUGUACCAAGGAACAGACAGUCAUUGUACUAAACUCUUGACCACAUUCCCACACAUUAUAUUCAGUACUGGGAUCAAGA
This is a long non-coding RNA of Oncorhynchus tshawytscha (Chinook salmon), 1050 nucleotides long. NCBI's taxonomy places the organism in Eukaryota, Metazoa, Chordata, Actinopteri, Salmoniformes, Salmonidae. The record is from Ensembl.